RNAcentral lists this transfer-messenger RNA (359 nucleotides) under Candidatus Sungiibacteriota bacterium. It matches the Rfam family "transfer-messenger RNA". From Rfam's summary of the family: Bacterial tmRNA, also known as 10Sa RNA or SsrA, is named for its dual tRNA and mRNA-like properties. Its role is to liberate the mRNA from a stalled ribosome. Lineage: Bacteria; Candidatus Sungiibacteriota. The record is from RNAcentral.
GGGGAUGUUAUGCUUCGUCAAAAAGCGUAUCGCAUUGGAUUCGAGGUUGAGGUUGACCACAAACUCAAAAAACUGGUCAAAAACAAUAAGUGCAAACUUAUUUAACGCUAAACCAGCGUUUGCUGUAGCUUAAAACCUUCAGCCAUCGCCUAGUUCCCGCCCGAAGGGACUAUGUGCGGUGCCAACCUUUCGGGCCGCUCUUUCAAGUAAAGCGAACUUGAAAGCUAAGACAAUCGCUAAAAGUUUAACCUUUUUCGCCGUUCUUUAACGGUUAGACUUAAACCAAGAACGGCUAGGCUUCGUAGCCAUCCAGGCCAGAAACUUUUUGCACGCGGGUUCAACUCCCGCCAUCUCCACAU